Molecule: long non-coding RNA, 839 nt
Organism: Chinchilla lanigera (long-tailed chinchilla)
Lineage: Eukaryota; Metazoa; Chordata; Mammalia; Rodentia; Chinchillidae
Exons: 3
Source: RefSeq, a predicted model, not a curated record
CGCCGGGCAGCUUGGAAAGAUGUCUCUGGAAAUCAGACCUCCCAACAAUGACUUCCAGUUGGCCACCUGGAACCAACAGAAUUUCCAAGAAACUGAGAAACCAGGAAAGAUUUUUCAGGAGGACUUUACUGGUGCACCAUCCCAACAAUUAGAAAUGCUCAAAAACUGGAGGACCUAGGUGGUGGAGUGAUAAGCAGCAGAGAAAGAGCCUCUUUGAGAGUUGCCAUCCAGAUGCUGAAAUUUAGCAACCUGAGGAGAUGAGAAGGAGGGAAGUGGGUCCUCUGGACCCAGGAAGGAUUUGAAGUGCGAAUUGAACCCCAUGGAAAGAAUGAAGAGAAAAACUUCAACAAAGAAGCAGGAGGUAGCUGGUGGCGCCUCCUUUCUGAGAUGGGAUUCACUGCACGAGAGGACCAAUUCAAACCUGUUCACACAUGGUGACUGCUAGUGACCCCAGAGAUCUCCACAGAGAAAUGCAGCAGUGGAGGGGAACAGUGAACGUGAAGGACUGCACUGGCUGGCAGUUAGUUCUGAGGGCUAAGUCAACCCACACUAGAGAGUGAUUGGCUGGGAGCCAUCUUGGAGAGGGGCCAGCUGAGCUCAGAACUCAGAGCAGCUGCAGAACUCAGAGCCUCUAUCUAGAGGCUCUCAGCUGGGCUCAGGCCUGCAGAAGGUGCGCUUAUGCCUGCAAGCUGAGUGAGUCUGGUCUUACCAUUAGAUGCAGGAUCACUGAGAUUAUCUACUACCCUGCCAAAUAGUGCUGGCUUCCUGGGAUAAAUCAACAUGGAUCUGGACUCUCUCUCCACACAUUACUUACCAGUGACAGCAGAGACAAACCUGGA